UUUUUCCUACGGGAGGCAGCAGUGGGGGAUAUUGCACAAUGGGGGAAACCCUGAUGCAGCGACGCCGCGUGAGUGAAGAAGUCAUUCGUGAUGUAAAGCUCUAUCAGCAGGGAAGAAAAUGACGGUACCUGACUAAGAAGCCCCGGCUAACUACGUGCCAGCAGCCGCGGUAAUACGUAGGGGGCAAGCGUUAUCCGGAUUUACUGGGUGUAAAGGGAGCGUAGGCGGCCAGGCAAGUCUGGAGUGAAAGCCCGGGGCUCAACCCCGGGACUGCUUUGGAAACUGCAGGGCUGGAGUGCAGGAGG
RNAcentral lists this ribosomal RNA (305 nucleotides) under uncultured bacterium. RNAcentral's name for it is "bacterial SSU rRNA". It matches the Rfam family "Bacterial small subunit ribosomal RNA", at positions 333 to 655 of the family's 1533-position model. The record is from RNAcentral.